This is a long non-coding RNA of Brassica oleracea var. oleracea, 1580 nucleotides long. RefSeq lists it as uncharacterized. The record is from RefSeq and is a predicted model, not a curated record. Lineage: Eukaryota; Viridiplantae; Streptophyta; Magnoliopsida; Brassicales; Brassicaceae. The transcript has 6 exons.
UCGAAUCUCGGACCUUUCUCUUCGUCUUCUCCGUCGUCUUCGUUUCAUGCGUUUACAAUUGAUCGUAACCCACAGGCCAUUUGCUUUUGGAAUCUAUGUUUGGAGGUGUAUUUUCUGUGCCUGUGAAUAAUCCUCACUUGCGCAAAUCUGGAAGUAUAAUCAUGAGACGAAGGCUUGCACUGCGACUUCGCGUGCCUGAUCUAUACCCUCCUGAGGAUGAAGCUCACGGAGGAGCGCGUGAAGUCGAUUGUCUGCGACGCGGUCGAGAUCGAGAGGGAGUUUGUGUGCGACUCGCUUCCGUGUGCGUUGGUGUGGAUGACCCGUGAGCUGAUGAGUCAGUAUAUCGAGUCCGUGGUGGAUAGGCUUUUGGGUGUGCUUGGGUACGGGAAGGUGUACGGUGUGGCGAAUCCGUUUGAUUGGAUGGAGUUGAUUUCGCUUCAGGGAAAACGAACUUCUUCGAGAAGAGAGUUAGUGACUACCAGAAAGCUUCUGUUAUGUCUAGCUUCCGUUUGAUAAUCAUUGAAACUCAUGGCUAGGUACUAUUGCCAAAUUGUGAAGCCCUUUUAGUCCUUAGCAGCCUCAAGGUUGCUCUGUAUGUUGGUGGUCUUUAUAUUUGUGGAAAGGUUGGAUGGGAAUCUGUAAUGAAAAUGGGACAAGACACACGAGAACUGUUCUUCUAUGAAACAUUUCUAUAUUACAACCCUCUCCUUCUCAUUACAAUGAUGGUUUGGCUCUGGGGUGUUAAUCUAUGGGUGUUUUCUCGAACUGGAGUCGAUUACGCAGCAAUAUUUUAUCUAGGACCAGAUCAUCAUAGUCACAAAGAGAUAUGGAAGUGUGCUAGGUGGAUGACGACGAUAAUAUUAACUAGCAUGACUGCGUAUCUGUAUCUAUACUCCCAUGGAGAUGUGUCCUUGGCUGCUUCUCAACCAGUAUUGUUUUGUAUCUCUCUGUUGUGAUCAUUCCCAUCACCCCUUUCGAUAUCUUCUACAAGGUAGGUUGAUCUCGACGAAAAAACAUUUCGAUCCAAGUGAUUGCUCCUGCAGCAGAAAACGUUGAGGUACCAACCAAGACAGUGGAGAAAACCGUUGUGGUUACCGAACAGGCGGAAGGGGGAUAGGCCGCGAUAGAGUAUGCUCCAGCUCCAGUCGCCGUAACUGAACAAUCCGAAGCACCAGUCGAAGGAACGAGCAAGGAAGUGGUUGUGGAAGAGGCAGAGAAAAAAGAUGAAGAAACUGAGAAGAAACCAGAGGAGCCAAAGGUAGAGGAGGAAGAAGACAAGACAGAAACUCCGGUCGUUGUGGAGGAGGCAAAAACAUAAGAGAAGGAGGAGGUGACUGAAACUCCGGCGGUUGUGGAGGAGGAGAAGAAGGCUGAGGCAGAGGAAGUUGUGGCUGUUGGUGAAGUCGCCGCUGAGAAGACCGAGGAGUAAAGCGGAAGAAACUAUAUAUGCACCUUCGGUGUCAUUUCGUUAUCUUAUUAAAAUAUUUAUUUUAUCAACAUUUUAUAAGUUUCUAUGUUCUGUUGUGUUUAUUAUGAUGAACUCAGAUGUUUGGAUAAUUUGAUGGUUGCUAUAUUGCUUA